Molecule: ribosomal RNA, 373 nt
Filed under: uncultured bacterium
Lineage: Bacteria
Description: bacterial SSU rRNA
Rfam family: Bacterial small subunit ribosomal RNA
Source: RNAcentral
ACGGAGGGUGCAAGCGUUGUUCGGAAUUACUGGGCGUAAAGCGCGCGUAGGCGGUUUGCUAAGUCAGAUGUGAAAGCCCAUGGCUCAACCAUGGACGUGCAUUUGAAACUGGCAGACUUGAGUAUUGGAGGGGGUGGUGGAAUUCCCGGUGUAGAGGUGAAAUUCGUAGAUAUCGGGAGGAAUACCGGUGGCGAAGGCGACCACCUGGCCAAAUACUGACGCUCAUGUGCGAAAGCGUGGGGAGCAAACAGGAUUAGAUACCCUGGUAGUCCACGCCGUAAACGAUGUCAACUAGGUGUUGGGACGGUUAAUCGUCUCAUUGCCGCAGCUAACGCAUUAAGUUGACCGCCUGGGGAGUACGGUCGCAAGAUUA